RNAcentral lists this ribosomal RNA (484 nucleotides) under uncultured bacterium. RNAcentral describes it as "partial 16S ribosomal RNA". It matches the Rfam family "Bacterial small subunit ribosomal RNA", at positions 29 to 507 of the family's 1533-position model. The record is from RNAcentral.
AGUGAACGCUGGCGGCAGGCCUAACACAUGCAAGUCGAGCGGCAGCGCGGGGGCAACCCUGGCGGCGAGCGGCGGACGGGUGAGGAAUUCGUCGGAAUCUGCCUUUUUGUGGGGGAUAACGUAGGGGAACUUACGCUAAUACCGCAUACGUCCUACGGGAGAAAGUGGGGGACCGCAAGGCCUCACGCAGAAAGAUGAGCCGACGACCGAUUAGCUAGUUGGUGGGGUAAAGGCCCACCAAGGCGACGAUCGGUAGCUGGUCUGAGAGGAUGAUCAGCCACACUGGGACUGAGACACGGCCCAGACUCCUACGGGAGGCAGCAGUGGGGAAUAUUGGACAAUGGGCGCAAGCCUGAUCCAGCCAUGCCGCGUGUGUGAAGAAGGCCUUCGGGUUGUAAAGCACUUUUGUCCGGAAAGAAAUCCCUGGAGCUAAUACCUUCGGGGGAUGACGGUACCGGAAGAAUAAGCACCGGCUAACUUCGUG